Molecule: ribosomal RNA, 254 nt
Filed under: uncultured bacterium
Lineage: Bacteria
Description: partial 16S ribosomal RNA
Rfam family: Bacterial small subunit ribosomal RNA
Source: RNAcentral
UACAGAGGGUGCAAGCAUUGUCCGGAUUUAUUGGGCGUAAAGCGUUUCGUAGGCGGAUUUGCAAGUUAUUUUUCAAAUACCAAGGCUCAACCUUGGAAAGGGGAAUAAUACUACAAGUCUUGAAUUGUAUCGGGGUUUUCGGAACUUGCGGUGUAGGGGUGAAAUCCGUUGAUAUCGCAAGGAACACCAAGGGCGAAGGCAGAAAACUAGGUACCAAUUAACGCUGAGGAACGACAGCUAGGGGAGCGAAAGGG